UACGGAGGGAGCUAGCGUUGUUCGGAAUUACUGGGCGUAAAGCGUACGUAGGCGGCCGAUCAAGUCAGAGGUGAAAGCCCAGGGCUCAACCUUGGAAUUGCCUUUGAAACUAGUUGGCUUGAAGAUGGGAGAGGUGAGUGGAAUUCCGAGUGUAGAGGUGAAAUUCGUAGAUAUUCGGAAGAACACCAGUGGCGAAGGCGGCUCACUGGACCAUUCUUGACGCUGAGGUACGAAAGCGUGGGGAGCAAACAGGAUUAGAUACCCUGGUAGUCCACGCCGUAAACGAUGAGAACUAGCUGUCGGGGCUCUUGGAGUUUCGGUGGCGCAGCUAACGCAUUAAGUUCUCCGCCUGGGGAGUACGGCCGCAAGGUUAAA
RNAcentral lists this ribosomal RNA (375 nucleotides) under uncultured bacterium. RNAcentral's name for it is "bacterial SSU rRNA". It matches the Rfam family "Bacterial small subunit ribosomal RNA", at positions 524 to 898 of the family's 1533-position model. The record is from RNAcentral.